This 148-nucleotide non-coding RNA is filed under the name Chlorocebus sabaeus (green monkey). The record is from Rfam by way of RNAcentral. Lineage: Eukaryota; Metazoa; Chordata; Mammalia; Primates; Cercopithecidae.
GCUGGGCGUGGUGGCACACGCCUGUAAUCCCAGCUACUCAGGAGGCUGAGGCAGGAGAAUCGCUUGAACCCGGGAGGCAGAGGUUGCAGUGAGCUGAGAUCGCGCCACUGCACUCCAGCCUGGGUGACAGAGUGAGACUCCGUCUCAA